GGGUUGUGAGGUUAAGCGACUAAGCGUACACGGUGGAUGCCCUGGCAGUCAGAGGCGAUGAAGGACGUGCUAAUCUGCGAUAAGCGUCGGUGAGGUGAUAUGAACCGUUAUAACCGGCGAUUUCCGAAUGGGGAAACCCAGUGUGUUUCGACACACUAUCAUUAACUGAAUCCAUAGGUUAAUGAGGCGAACCGGGGGAACUGAAACAUCUAAGUACCCCGAGGAAAAGAAAUCAACCGAGAUUCCCCCAGUAGCGGCGAGCGAACGGGGAGGAGCCCAGAGCCUGAAUCAGUGUGUGUGUUAGUGGAAGCGUCUGGAAAGGCGCGCGAUACAGGGUGACAGCCCCGUACACAAAAAUGCACAUAUUGUGAGCUCGAUGAGUAGGGCGGGACACGUGGUAUCCUGUCUGAAUAUGGGGGACCAUCCUCCAAGGCUAAAUACUCCUGACUGACCGAUAGUGAACCAGUACCGUGAGGGAAAGGCGAAAAGAACCCCGGCGAGGGGAGUGAAAAAGAACCUGAAACCGUGUACGUACAAGCAGUGGGAGCCUCUUAAUGGGGUGACUGCGUACCUUUUGUAUAAUGGGUCAGCGACUUAUAUUCUGUAGCAAGGUUAACCGAAUAGGGGAGCCGAAGGGAAACCGAGUCUUAACUGGGCGUUAAGUUGCAGGGUAUAGACCCGAAACCCGGUGAUCUAGCCAUGGGCAGGUUGAAGGUUGGGUAACACUAACUGGAGGACCGAACCGACUAAUGUUGAAAAAUUAGCGGAUGACUUGUGGCUGGGGGUGAAAGGCCAAUCAAACCGGGAGAUAGCUGGUUCUCCCCGAAAGCUAUUUAGGUAGCGCCUCGUGAAUUCAUCUCCGGGGGUAGAGCACUGUUUCGGCAAGGGGGUCAUCCCGACUUACCAACCCGAUGCAAACUGCGAAUACCGGAGAAUGUUAUCACGGGAGACACACGGCGGGUGCUAACGUCCGUCGUGAAGAGGGAAACAACCCAGACCGCCAGCUAAGGUCCCAAAGUCAUGGUUAAGUGGGAAACGAUGUGGGAAGGCCCAGACAGCCAGGAUGUUGGCUUAGAAGCAGCCAUCAUUUAAAGAAAGCGUAAUAGCUCACUGGUCGAGUCGGCCUGCGCGGAAGAUGUAACGGGGCUAAACCAUGCACCGAAGCUGCGGCAGCGACACUAUGUGUUGUUGGGUAGGGGAGCGUUCUGUAAGCCUGUGAAGGUGGCCUGUGAGGGUUGCUGGAGGUAUCAGAAGUGCGAAUGCUGACAUAAGUAACGAUAAAGCGGGUGAAAAGCCCGCUCGCCGGAAGACCAAGGGUUCCUGUCCAACGUUAAUCGGGGCAGGGUGAGUCGACCCCUAAGGCGAGGCCGAAAGGCGUAGUCGAUGGGAAACAGGUUAAUAUUCCUGUACUUGGUGUUACUGCGAAGGGGGGACGGAGAAGGCUAUGUUGGCCGGGCGACGGUUGUCCCGGUUUAAGCGUGUAGGCUGGUUUUCCAGGCAAAUCCGGAAAAUCAAGGCUGAGGCGUGAUGACGAGGCACUACGGUGCUGAAGCGACAAAUGCCCUGCUUCCAGGAAAAGCCUCUAAGCAUCAGGUAACAUCAAAUCGUACCCCAAACCGACACAGGUGGUCAGGUAGAGAAUACCAAGGCGCUUGAGAGAACUCGGGUGAAGGAACUAGGCAAAAUGGUGCCGUAACUUCGGGAGAAGGCACGCUGAUAUGUAGGUGAAGCGACUUGCUCGUGGAGCUGAAAUCAGUCGAAGAUACCAGCUGGCUGCAACUGUUUAUUAAAAACACAGCACUGUGCAAACACGAAAGUGGACGUAUACGGUGUGACGCCUGCCCGGUGCCGGAAGGUUAAUUGAUGGGGUUAGCGGUAACGCGAAGCUCUUGAUCGAAGCCCCGGUAAACGGCGGCCGUAACUAUAACGGUCCUAAGGUAGCGAAAUUCCUUGUCGGGUAAGUUCCGACCUGCACGAAUGGCGUAAUGAUGGCCAGGCUGUCUCCACCCGAGACUCAGUGAAAUUGAACUCGCUGUGAAGAUGCAGUGUACCCGCGGCAAGACGGAAAGACCCCGUGAACCUUUACUAUAGCUUGACACUGAACAUUGAGCCUUGAUGUGUAGGAUAGGUGGGAGGCUUUGAAGUGUGGACGCCAGUCUGCAUGGAGCCGACCUUGAAAUACCACCCUUUAAUGUUUGAUGUUCUAACGUGGGCCCCUUACCGGGGUUGCGGACAGUGUCUGGUGGGUAGUUUGACUGGGGCGGUCUCCUCCUAAAGAGUAACGGAGGAGCACGAAGGUUGGCUAAUCCUGGUCGGACAUCAGGAGGUUAGUGCAAUGGCAUAAGCCAGCUUGACUGCGAGCGUGACGGCGCGAGCAGGUGCGAAAGCAGGUCAUAGUGAUCCGGUGGUUCUGAAUGGAAGGGCCAUCGCUCAACGGAUAAAAGGUACUCCGGGGAUAACAGGCUGAUACCGCCCAAGAGUUCAUAUCGACGGCGGUGUUUGGCACCUCGAUGUCGGCUCAUCACAUCCUGGGGCUGAAGUAGGUCCCAAGGGUAUGGCUGUUCGCCAUUUAAAGUGGUACGCGAGCUGGGUUUAGAACGUCGUGAGACAGUUCGGUCCCUAUCUGCCGUGGGCGCUGGAGAACUGAGGGGGGCUGCUCCUAGUACGAGAGGACCGGAGUGGACGCAUCACUGGUGUUCGGGUUGUCAUGCCAAUGGCACUGCCCGGUAGCUAAAUGCGGAAGAGAUAAGUGCUGAAAGCAUCUAAGCACGAAACUUGCCCCGAGAUGAGUUCUCCCUGACUCCUUGAGAGUCCUGAAGGAACGUUGAAGACGACGACGUUGAUAGGCCGGGUGUGUAAGCGCAGCGAUGCGUUGAGCUAACCGGUACUAAUGAACCGUGAGGCUUAACCUUACAACGCCGAAG
RNAcentral lists this ribosomal RNA (2924 nucleotides) under Escherichia coli. RNAcentral describes it as "23S ribosomal RNA". It matches the Rfam family "Bacterial large subunit ribosomal RNA". Lineage: Bacteria; Pseudomonadati; Pseudomonadota; Gammaproteobacteria; Enterobacterales; Enterobacteriaceae. The record is from RNAcentral.